UUUCUAUGGAGAGUUUGAUCCUGGCUCAGGACGAACGCUGGCGGCGUGCCUAAUACAUGCAAGUCGAGCGGAGUUUUGAAAAGCUUGCUUUUCAAAACUUAGCGGCGGACGGGUGAGUAACACGUGGGCAACCUGCCCUUGAGACGGGGAUAACUCCGGGAAACCGGAGCUAAUACCGGAUAACACAUAUCUUCGCAUGAGGAUAUGUUAGAAGGUGGCUUUUA
This 224-nucleotide ribosomal RNA is filed under the name Priestia endophytica DSM 13796. RNAcentral describes it as "Bacillus endophyticus DSM 13796 16S rRNA. Bacterial SSU". It matches the Rfam family "Bacterial small subunit ribosomal RNA", at positions 1 to 217 of the family's 1533-position model. The record is from RNAcentral. Lineage: Bacteria; Bacillati; Bacillota; Bacilli; Caryophanales; Bacillaceae.